RNAcentral lists this long non-coding RNA (2059 nucleotides) under Lepisosteus oculatus (spotted gar). RNAcentral's name for it is "lncRNA (ENSLOCG00000022258.1)". Lineage: Eukaryota; Metazoa; Chordata; Actinopteri; Semionotiformes; Lepisosteidae. The record is from RNAcentral.
CCGCAUAUGACCUCCCACUUUUCGUUUUCAAGGUCUCAGUCUAGGGGCAGCCUCCUUGCCUGCGUGAUAUGUCAAUCACAGAUGCUGGUGAUAUAAAAACCAACAGGUUCUCCAUCCUGUAUAGAGGUCUGCGGGAGCGUUGAUCACUGCGUUUGUGAAGGGGCAACUUUUCAGCCACAAAAGCUACAAAAUGACUAAAAUAACAGCUGCGUAUUUUGGAGCGGUCAUGCUUGUCGUAUGUUUGGUAUCAAAACAGGCUGACUCUAAUACUACUGCUACUACUUAUGCCUCCACAACAGCCAACACAGCUACCCAGUUGGCUCAGAAUGGAAGUUCUACAGCGGCCACCACCAGCACUUACAUCAGCGCGAGCUCAGGCAACUUCACCACCCCCUUGGGGGCUGGGAACGCUCUGCAGUCAAACACCUUCUCCAUUCUCCUCCCUCUCGCCGCCUCUGCCUCCAUCUUCCGCCUGCGCUGUUAAAGCCCGCAGUCGCGGGAGACACCCAAAACUCUGACAUCCCCCACGGUGAAGAUGGAAACAAAAUUAUCCAAAGAGCAAGUGAUAUGAACAGCAAUUGUAGCAGAAGUCUCUGAAUUGGGGGUGGGGGUGGGGCUGUGGUGGUGGGUGGGGGGGUAUGGUAAAGGAAGAGCCUGCACAAUCCAGAUUACAAAGAGAGCAGGAGGAGUGUCACAUUGAGGAAUGAAGUGUCUUAACUCUAAAGGUAUCAGGCUGUUCUCUACCCCAUCAACAAGGCUUGGUGAUCAACAAGGCAGAAAAAGGUACCAUCAGACUUCUCAGUUGCUUGACAACAGAAAGUUCGGGACACGGAUCAAGGAUGUACAUACUCUGCUCAUUUGACUGUCUCAUUUUAUGUUUGUUUCCAGCAAAGGACACUUGUCUCUUUUUUUUCACCUGUGUACAGCAUGUUAUUGUCAUCUUAUUUAGGCAGCAGAUGAACAGCUAAUUGUGAAUGCAUAUGCUUGUUUUAAGGAUAGUAGCUAAUUAUUAACUGAAUAGAAUUCAUAUUAAAUGUAAAUAUUAUGGCCAAAUAUGAGUUGGAUAUAAACGUUUACAUGCAGACCAAGCCUUGAGUUUCCUUACAGUUUUCAAUAGUCACUUAUAUAUACAAAUAAGUAUGAAUAUAAUGAAUCUGAAAAAUGAAGGGCUGGUUUACUAUAUUGAAAUAACAAGGAAGUUAUGAUAAUUUUGUUUUUUAUGAUUUUCUUUUACAAAAAUUAUGGGAACUCUGUGCAUUCUGCCUUUUCCAAAAUCAACUGUACUGUACACAGCUCUAAGAGUGUACUGGAUAAGAAACUGCAGAUGGUAAAAAAAAUGUUAAAUUGGUGUGAUUUAAAAUAAACCUAUAUUUUUUGUAUAAAUAGAAUUGUUUAUUAAUGUUUUUCUGUAAUUACGUGUGAAUAAUGAGAUCAGGGAGUAAAUGCUCACUUUAUUGUAACUGAAUAAAUUACCUGAAAAACAACUUUCUUCAGCUUAUCAGAUUUCUCAUUCAUGCAAUUCAGGGUUGGAAAAAAAUUACUGUACCAAAACUUGUCUCAAACCAAGAAAAUUCAGUUCAUCCUAUGGCAUAGGCAAAAAAUGUGCUGUUCAUUCAAGCAUGCCUGGUAGAGUCAGAAAAAGAUCAGGUGUACUCACUUAUUUAAUAUACUGUACCGUGCCAAUAUACUUCAUUUCACAGCAUCCUUGAGUUUCGAAAGGCACUUUAAAAAUAAAAUUAUUAAAGCUAUUAUAUACUGUACUAUUUCCUAGUUGCCUCUGUUUCAAGUACAGCAGGUCCAUACAGAAACUGAAAAAAAUAAAAUUAAAUGACUAGAUUUUCCUUCAGUGUUGGUAUGGUUGGUGUGUUUUAAAGAUGCUUUGAAGGCUACUACAUUAGUGAAGCUAGUUUAAUGGCAAUUCAACCUGGCUCUUUACAAUGCUACACAUCUUCUUAGAAAUGUACAUUUGCCAUUUGUAUCAAGAAUCAUCUUACUUUUUACUGGUCUUCUUUAAAGCUAAAGAAUUAAGUUACUGGCUGUCUCAAUAAACAGAAAUGGC